GCCCUGAUGGCGGAAUUGGUAGACGCGACGGUCUCAAACACCGUUAGAGCAAUCUAUCCCGGUUCGAGUCCGGGUCAGGGCA
This 82-nucleotide transfer RNA is filed under the name Muribaculaceae bacterium. Its description in RNAcentral is "tRNA-Leu". It matches the Rfam family "tRNA". Rfam says of the family: Transfer RNA (tRNA) molecules are approximately 80 nucleotides in length. Lineage: Bacteria; Pseudomonadati; Bacteroidota; Bacteroidia; Bacteroidales; Muribaculaceae. The record is from RNAcentral.